RNAcentral lists this ribosomal RNA (653 nucleotides) under uncultured Actinomycetes bacterium. RNAcentral's name for it is "bacterial SSU rRNA". It matches the Rfam family "Bacterial small subunit ribosomal RNA", at positions 95 to 735 of the family's 1533-position model. The record is from RNAcentral. Lineage: Bacteria; Bacillati; Actinomycetota; Actinomycetes.
GCGGCGAACGGGUGAGUAACACGUGGGUAAUCUGCCCUCGGCACUGGGAUAGCCCGGGGAAACCCGGAUUAAUACCGGAUGGACUCUCGAGCUUUCGGGCUUGUGAGAAAACGGUGGCUUCGGCUUCCGGCGGAGGAUGAGCCCGCGGCGGAUUAGCUUGUUGGUGAGGUAAUGGCUCACCAAGGCGACGAUCCGUAGCUGGUCUGAGAGGACGAUCAGCCACACUGGGACUGAGACACGGCCCAGACUCCUACGGGAGGCAGCAGUAGGGAAUCUUGCGCAAUGGGCGACAGCCUGACGCAGCGACGCCGCGUGCGGGAAGAAGGCCUUCGGGUUGUAAACCGCUUUCAGGAGGGACGAAGCCACUCGGGUUAAUACCCCAGAGGGUGACGGUACCCCCAGAAGAAGCCCCGGCUAACUACGUGCCAGCAGCCGCGGUAAUACGUAGGGGGCAAGCGUUGUCCGGAUUUAUUGGGCGUAAAGCGCGUGUAGGCGGCCAGACAGGUCUGCUGUGAAAACUCGAGGCUCAACCUCGAGAUGUCGGUGGAAACCGUUUGGCUAGAGUGCGGAAGAGGAGAGUGGAAUUCCUGGUGUAGCGGUGAAAUGCGCAGAUAUCAGGAGGAACACCCGUGGCGAAGGCGGCUCUCUGGUAC